Molecule: long non-coding RNA, 280 nt
Organism: Rattus norvegicus (Norway rat)
Lineage: Eukaryota; Metazoa; Chordata; Mammalia; Rodentia; Muridae
Source: RefSeq, a predicted model, not a curated record
CUUCCACAUUCUACCUCUCCAUCAGCCACUCCCUUGGCUACAGGCAUCCUUCAGACCUGGCCUUGGUCUUUCUCCAUGCGUAAACUCCGGUAACAAAAUCUGAGACACACACGAACGAUGCUCACACAUUUGGGUUGAUUAGAAGCCAUGUCGACUGCAGACUCUAAGCUGUCUCUCUCCUACAAGUGACGUGAGGACAACAUAAGGCUGGAGACCAAACACUUAAGACCCCUCUGCACCUGCUCUUGUUUUGCAACAAUAAAAUCCUUAAGAAGCCUAA